Molecule: ribosomal RNA, 543 nt
Filed under: uncultured Glomeromycotina
Lineage: Eukaryota; Fungi; Glomeromycota
Description: SSU rRNA
Rfam family: Eukaryotic small subunit ribosomal RNA
Source: RNAcentral
GGAAGUCUGGUGCCAGCAGCCGCGGUAAUUCCAGCUCCAAUAGCGUAUAUUAAAGUUGUUGCAGUUAAAAAGCUCGUAGUUGAAUUUCGGGAUCAAUAUUUCGGUCAUGCCGUUGGUAUGCACUGUUAUCAUUGAUUUCUCACCUUCUAAAGAACCAUAAUGCCAUUAAUUUGGUGUUACGGGGAAUUAGGACUGUUACCUUGAAAAAAUUAGAGUGUUUAAAGCAGGCUCACGCUUGAAUACAUUAGCAUGGAAUAAUGAAAUAGGACAUCCGAUUCUAUUUUGUUGGUUUCCAGGAUCGAUGUAAUGAUUAAUAGGGAUAGUUGGGGGCAUUAGUAUUCAAUUGUCAGAGGUGAAAUUCUUGGAUUUAUUGAAGACUAACUACUGCGAAAGCAUUUGCCAAGGAUGUUUUCAUUAAUCAAGAACGAAAGUUAGGGGAUCGAAGACGAUCAGAUACCGUCGUAGUCUUAACCAUAAACUAUGCCGACUAGGGAUCGGAUGAUGUUAAUUUUUUAAUGACUCAUUCGGCGCCUUACGGGAAAC